RNAcentral lists this ribosomal RNA (247 nucleotides) under uncultured crenarchaeote. Its description in RNAcentral is "partial 16S ribosomal RNA". It matches the Rfam family "Archaeal small subunit ribosomal RNA", at positions 478 to 725 of the family's 1478-position model. Lineage: Archaea; Thermoproteati; Thermoproteota. The record is from RNAcentral.
AGCUCUCCGAGUGGUGUGGAUGUUUAUUGGGCCUAAAGCAUCCGUAGCUGGCUAGGUAAGUCCCUUGUUAAAUCCACCGAAUUAAUCGUUGGAUCGCGGGGGAUACUGCUUGGCUAGGGGACGAGAGAGGCAGACGGUAUUCUCGGGGUAGGGGUGAAAUCCUAUAAUCCCGGGAAGACCACCAGUGGCGAAGGCUGUCUGCUAGAACGCGCCCGACGGUGAGGGAUGAAAGCUGGGGGAGCGAACC